AUAAAUAUAGCAUAAGUAAUGCAACUAUAAAUGUAGUAGGUGAUGCAGGUUCAAGUCCUGCUAUUUAUACCA
RNAcentral lists this transfer RNA (72 nucleotides) under Terrisporobacter hibernicus. Its description in RNAcentral is "tRNA-Phe". It matches the Rfam family "tRNA". Rfam says of the family: Transfer RNA (tRNA) molecules are approximately 80 nucleotides in length. Their secondary structure includes four short double-helical elements and three loops (D, anti-codon, and T loops). Lineage: Bacteria; Bacillati; Bacillota; Clostridia; Peptostreptococcales; Peptostreptococcaceae. The record is from RNAcentral.